RNAcentral lists this ribosomal RNA (253 nucleotides) under uncultured bacterium. RNAcentral describes it as "partial 16S ribosomal RNA". It matches the Rfam family "Bacterial small subunit ribosomal RNA", at positions 524 to 776 of the family's 1533-position model. The record is from RNAcentral.
UACGUAGGGUGCGAGCGUUGCCCGGAUUUAUUGGGCGUAAAGGGCGCGUAGGCGGCUACGCACGUCCGUUGUGAAAUCGCUCGGCUCAACUGGGCGGGGUCAGCGGAUACGGCGUAGCUGGAGCAAGCUAGGGGGCAAUGGAAUUCCCGGUGUAGUGGUGAAAUGCGCAGAUAUCGGGAGGAACACCAAUUGCGAAGGCAGCUCGCUGGGACGUUACUGACGCUGAGACGCGAAAGCGUGGGGAGCAAACAGG